UUAACUACAAAGCUGAAUACAGUGUGAUCAGCGGUGGAAAAGCUCUAAGACUAAUGAUGCUACCAGCAUGGGAAGUGUAUCUCUAUGUGUUUAUUACAGUUGGCUCUCACUUUUAUUCUUUCUAUGAAGUGUACAAAGUUUCUAGAAAGUAUGAAGAAGAAAUUGACAGAAAUUUUGGACUGGAACAGGGCAUUCUGUUUCGGGGCCUUAAAAAGAUUUUGUUGACACAGUUAGAUACUUCUCUCCAUCUGUAUAGCCAGACUCCUGUAGUCUCCUGAAUCCAAAGCUCCAUGAAGAUCAAGAAAAAAGCCUCUAAGCAUAGGUACUGCAUAGGUACUGUUUUUUUCUAAAUGUGCCAAUACAUAGAGGAGUGCUUCUGUAUUAGAGGGACUCUGG
Molecule: long non-coding RNA, 396 nt
Filed under: Apteryx rowi (Okarito brown kiwi)
Lineage: Eukaryota; Metazoa; Chordata; Aves; Apterygiformes; Apterygidae
Description: lncRNA (ENSARWG00000003928.1)
Source: RNAcentral